Molecule: ribosomal RNA, 1143 nt
Filed under: Cassava witches'-broom phytoplasma
Lineage: Bacteria; Bacillati; Mycoplasmatota; Mollicutes; Acholeplasmatales; Acholeplasmataceae
Description: bacterial SSU rRNA
Rfam family: Bacterial small subunit ribosomal RNA
Source: RNAcentral
AAGACCUAGUUAAUAGGUAUGCUUUAGGAGGGGCUUGCGCCAUAUUAGUUAGUUGGUAGGGUAAUGGCCUACCAAGACGAUGAUGUGUAGCUGGACUGAGAGGUUGAACAGCCACAUUGGGACUGAGACACGGCCCAAACUCCUACGGGAGGCAGCAGUAGGGAAUUUUCGGCAAUGGAGGAAACUCUGACCGAGCAACGCCGCGUGAAUGACGAAGUACUUCGGUAUGUAAAGUUCUUUUAUCGAGGAAGAAAAGCAAAUGGCGAACCAUUUGUUUGCCGGUACUUGAUGAAUAAGCCCCGGCUAAUUAUGUGCCAGCAGCCGCGGUAAGACAUAAGGGGCAAGUGUUAUCCGGAAUUAUUGGGCGUAAAGGGUGCGUAGGCGGUCUAGUAAGUCAGUGGUGUAAUGUCAACGCUUAACGUUGUCCGGCUAUUGAAACUGCUAAACUUGAGUUAGAUAGAGGCGAGUGGAAUUCCAUGUGUAGCGGUAAAAUGCGUAAAUAUAUGGAGGAACACCAGAGGCGUAGGCGGCUCGCUGGGUCUUAACUGACGCUGAGGCACGAAAGCGUGGGGAGCAAACAGGAUUAGAUACCCUGGUAGUCCACGCCGUAAACGAUGAGUACUAAGUGUCGGGUUAAACCGGUACUGAAGUUAACACAUUAAGUACUCCGCCUGAGUAGUACGUACGCAAGUAUGAAACUUAAAGGAAUUGACGGGACUCCGCACAAGCGGUGGAUCAUGUUGUUUAAUUCGAAGAUACCCGAAAAACCUUACCAGGUCUUGACAUGUUUUUGCAAAAUGAUAGUAAUAUCGUGGAGGUUACCAGAAACACAGGUGGUGCAUGGUUGUCGUCAGCUCGUGUCGUGAGAUGUUAGGUUAAGUCCUAAAACGAGCGAAACCCUUAUCGUUAGUUGCCAGCACGUUAUGGUGGGGACUUUAACGAGACUGCCAAUGAUAAAUUGGAGGAAGGUGAGGAUCACGUCAAAUCAGCAUGCCCCUUAUGACCUGGGCUACAAACGUGAUACAAUGGCUGUUACAAAGGGUAGCUGAAACGCAAGUUCUUGGCCAAUCCCCAAAAACAGUCCCAGUCCGGAUUGAAGUCUGCAACUCGACUUCAUGAAGUUGGAAUCGCUAGUAAUCGCGA